This 253-nucleotide ribosomal RNA is filed under the name uncultured bacterium. Its description in RNAcentral is "partial 16S ribosomal RNA". It matches the Rfam family "Bacterial small subunit ribosomal RNA", at positions 524 to 776 of the family's 1533-position model. The record is from RNAcentral.
CACGGGGGGAGCAAGCGUUGUUCGGAAUCACUGGGCGUAAAGGGCGUGUAGGCGGUCAGGUAAGUGAGACGUGAAAUGCCCCGGCUUACCCGGGGACCUGCGUCUCAUACUGCUUGGCUUGAGUACGGGAGAGGGUGUGGGAAUUCCUGGUGUAGCGGUGAAAUGCGUAGAUAUCCGGAGGAACACCGGUGGCGAAGGCGGCUUCCUGGACCGACACUGACGCUGAGGCGCGAAAGCUAGGGGAGCAAACGGG